GACGAACGCUGGCGGCGUGCUUAACACAUGCAAGUCGAACGGAAAGGCUCCAGCUUGCUGGCGUACUCGAGUGGCGAACGGGUGAGUAACACGUGGGUAAUCUGCCCUGCACUCUGGGAUAAGCCUGGGAAACUGGGUCUAAUACUGGAUAUGACCUUUCUCCUUAUGGGGUUUGGUGGAAAGUUUUUCGGUGUAGGAUGAGCCCGCGGCCUAUCGGCUUGUUGGUGGGGUGAUGGCCUACCAAGGCGACGACGGGUAGCCGGCCUGAGAGGGUGAUCGGCCACAUUGGGACUGAGAUACGGCCCAGACUCCUACGGGAGGCAGCAGUGGGGAAUAUUGCACAAUGGGCGGAAGCCUGAUGCAGCGACGCCGCGUGAGGGAUGACGGCCUUCGGGUUGUAAACCUCUUUCAGCAGGGACGAAGCGUAAGUGACGGUACCUGCAGAAGAAGCACCGGCUAACUAUGUG
Molecule: ribosomal RNA, 467 nt
Filed under: uncultured bacterium
Lineage: Bacteria
Description: partial 16S ribosomal RNA
Rfam family: Bacterial small subunit ribosomal RNA
Source: RNAcentral